GAUGAACGCUGGCGGCGUGCCUAAUACAUGCAAGUCGAGCGAACGGACGAGAAGCUUGCUUCUCUGAUGUUAGCGGCGGACGGGUGAGUAACACGUGGAUAACCUACCUAUCAGACUGGGAUAACUUCGGGACACCGGAUCUAAUACCGGAUAAUAUUUUGAACCGCAUGGUUCAAAAGUGAAAGACGGUCUUGCUGUCACUUAUAGAUGGAUCCGCGCUGUAUUAGCUAGUUGGUAAGGUAACGGCCUACCAAGGCAACGAUGCAUAGCCGACCUGAGAGGGUGAUAGGCCACACGGGAAGUGGAACACGGUCCAGACUCCUACGGGAGGCAGCAGUAGGGAAUCUUCCGCAAUGGGCGAAAGCCUGACGGAGCAACGCCGCGUGAGUGAUGAAGGUCUUCGGAUCGUAAAACUCUGUUAUUAGGGAAGAACAUAUGUGGAAGGAACUGUGCACAGCGUGACGGUAACUAAUCAGAAAGCAACGGCUAACUACGUG
Molecule: ribosomal RNA, 497 nt
Filed under: uncultured bacterium
Lineage: Bacteria
Description: partial 16S ribosomal RNA
Rfam family: Bacterial small subunit ribosomal RNA
Source: RNAcentral